CCCCUUUUGGACUUCAGCAACUGAUGGUCCAGUGCAUCCCUAUACACAGUCUAUGGUCCGGUGAGGAGGUUUUGCAGCGGGAACGUUUGUGUACAGUGUAUUUUUGCAAGAAGACUGGCAAAGUGAAGUGAGCAUCCUGAUGAAGAGAAUGAAACUGUGUCUGCUGCCUUAACAGAGGGGGAUCCAGAAAGGCAUACAUAGAGCAUGGCUGGACAGCAGCAGGAUGGUCCCUCAACGUCCACUGCACAGAUUGACACAGUGAGAUGGAUGUUCAGUAAACACCAGAGGUUCAUUCCGUGGAAUUCAUGUGCAACUGUAUAAUUUAAUGUCCUCUAUGUAUUCCCAGUUAUCGGUAAAACGGAUUUACAAACUGCAUUUGCUGAGAAAAAUCCCAAAAAACAGAUUUGGAAGGCAGAUCUAGAAAUUGAAAUACUGGAGCUGUCACGCCCCUCUGGUUCCAACGAGCCGGCUCAUCAGUUCAAUGAUGAGCGGCUGUGCUCCCUGCACAGCCGGCAUGAAUUUAUCCAAUCAGCGCAGCAUAUAAGCUUCACAACUCACCGCCGGUUCAUUGUUCCAUCAUCCAUGCUCCAUGACGCACUCCAUUUCAUACAGUACUCCGUUCACCGUCUCCUGCACGUCGCCCCCCCCCGGACUGUCUUCCCUGUUGGAUACCUUGCCUGUCUCCCCUGCCGCCGCCACCCUCCCUCCAUUGGUCCUGUCAAUUCUGCCCCUCUUCCGCCUUCCAAACUGGACAAUCAGUAAGCCACCUUUCCUUUUGGUUUAGUUUAUGUUUUACCUGCUCUUUGUUUAGUUUAGUUCUUCUCCCCGUCACUUCCCUCCUGCUUCAGCUAUAAGGAGUUUUCUGUUAAUAUAUUUUUAUUUUGUAUUAAAUCAUUAUUUAAUUCACCUUCCUGUCUGUGCCUGCUGCUUGGGUUCUUCUCUGUGUUUCUUGACAGGAGCACAAGUUAGAGGUGGGUGAUGGUCACAGGUGAAUUAUGUAAACUACUGGAACAUUAACUGAACUAUCUCUUUUAUUUGUAGGAAAUAAAGACCAAAUGAAAUGUGUAUCAUGUCUUUAUUUGCUGUGGUGGCGAUGAUGGGGACUUAAACUCUGAAGUGAUUAUUGCACAUGGUGUCUCUGAAUGCUCUGCUGUCCUGGAUAGCUGCAGGUGGAUGGGGUCAUCAUCUGGGUCUUCAGUUUGUAGGGCAGGGUGUUGCUCUCCUCUAACAGUGGUAAUAUUUUGAAGAACAACACAUGCCACAGUGAUAUCACAGGCCCUCUCAGGGGUCACCCUGAGGUGAUGUAGGCACUGGAAACGGGCUUUCAGCAGGCUUAUGGUCAUCUCCACCUGGGCUCUGGUCCUGCAGUGAGCCUGGUUGAAGUUGUGUUGGGGGCCUGGUUGAGGGUCAGGGUAUGAGGUCAUCAGCCUGGGUUGGUAUGGUAACCCCUGUCACCCAGCAGAAGGCCAUCAAACUCUCCUGUAAUGUAUAGUGGAUACAUUAGAGUAUUUUAAAGGAGGGAGACAAGAGAAUUCUAUUGUGAAAACCUUUAGGCUGCUGACCACGUUGCAGUCUGUUGCUCAGGUUAGACUCUCCAUAAAUCCUGGAGUCAUGAACAGACCCAGGCCACCAGGCCUCCACAUUGAAAAUGAUGUAUGCAUCAUCACAUAUGAUCUGGACAGUGCAGAGAAUGACAGAUGUUGAACUAUGAUGCAGUCUUUAACAUUUAGAAACCGUAGUCAGUCUGCCUGUAGCCUACCUGCACAUUUAUGCUGUGAAUGGACUUCCUGUUCAUGUGAGGGAGCUGUGAUGGGGAUGUGUGUACCAUCUAUGCAGCAAAUCACACUGGGAAAUCCUAAAAGAAAUUAAAAUGACUAAUCUCAGACUGAGGUUGCAGCACAAUGUCAUUAACAGAUCUCUACAUCAUUCACCUGCAAUCCUGUGGAACUCCUCCUUGAUGCUCCGACAGGUCCAGGGAAAACCACAAAGAUGAGUAAAAGCCGUUUCAGGGCCAGCAACACUUUCCUGACCGUCCUCCAUACAGUUGUCUUACUGAAGUCCUCUGCAUCUCCGACAUUAUAUAAAAACUUUCAUUUGCAAAGAACUGCAGCGCAACACACAUUAUCUGCUGGAUGUGAGAGCAUGACUGGUUGGUAAUGUAAAUGUAAGGACGGAUUAGGUUGUUUAUGUAGAUUAUGGACUUGAAACGGUACCGCUAAAAACAAAUAAUUGUCCGGAAAUGCGAGAACAUUUAUGCUCGGUCUGAUAAUCUAACGAUGAAUAUUUAAUUAUCUGUGCAGUAAUGCUGAUCCUUUAUCCACUGGAUCGUUAAUAAAAGCUGUUCUACGCCAAAACUCGCUUGCUUACUGACUGCAUGAAUGAGGAAAUGAAACAGCGUCUGUGGCUGAAAGUGGGCGGAUACGGAGAGAAACUCGAGGUUUUCUGAAAUAAAUCUGUUGGCAACCAGGUUCAAGUCAUAGAGUCUGUUACUGCGGUAACUGACUGUGAGUUUAAGUUACCCAUCUUUGUGAAACAGGCUCGUUACCCCUCUGUCUCAGGGUUGAGUUACCUCGCUUCGUGAAACGGAAAACUCUGAGUUUCCCUCAUUUCAGGGUUAACAAACUCAGGGUUUUCAAUAAACCUGCUUCUUGAAACAGACCCCAGGAAGGCCAGUCACAGUUAAACAGUCCAGUGUCUAAAGGUGAUCUAAAUUCAAAAUAAUUUGUCAGCAUUGCUGAAGGGCCCAGUAGUGGUCACAACAGGGUUUGAACCACUGACCUUCUGAUCAGUAGUCCAGAGACUUAACACUUGCACUACUGCUUCCUUGUUACAUUAUUUAUGAAUAUGGGUUCCUCCCGAGGAAAAUGCAGUUCUUACUAUUAAAGUGGAACUUACAUACACCAUCUGCCUUAGUAGAUACAAGCAGUAUGACCUCUUAGUACCCCGAAUAUGUGCAUCAUUAUGAAUAUUCAAAUGAAGAAUAAUGAGGAAGAAACACUGUAGGUAUUUGUAUUAGCUGCUAGUCCACAGGAAAUAGACUUGCUGUGCUUACUAAAAUUUAAAUGCUCUGCAAUUUGCUUUGAAUUGACAGCUGAUAAGAAUUUGCUAAAGGUCGCAGAUAUACCACUUACCUUUGUACCAUUUCAAGCUAUUUAUUGGACUUGAACUACUUGAAUGUCAAUUAAAACUGGAACAAUUGGGGCAUUCCAAAACUUUUGACCAGUCAUGUAUAUACACUCAAAUCUGACGGGUAUCACGUUGGUAAAUGCAAUUUUUGAUCUAAACUGGGAUUUCAAAUUACCAGACACAAGGCCCUCUACAUGUUAAGAGACACCAAAAACAACGAUGACCAGCAUGUAUACUAGUAUGCAUAUUUCAUUCACAUCCAGUCUUCUUUACACUUAAGAAAAUUACUUUUGAUAGAACAAACAUCCAUUUCAAAAAGAUGGGAGAGUGUGCAUUCAGCAGGAAGAGGCUGUGUGUAUUGUGAGUUGUUUUCAAGCUGAUUGAUGACUGUGUGAAGUGAUAAUCAGAUGCCAAGACAGCUCCAACUGUGAUGGGUGUAAACAGUGUCUUAGAGUCUUAGAGCUGAAGACAGGAUAUGGUAAAAAGGGAAAAGGAACCACUCCCUGCCGGCCUCAUUUUCCUGAGAAGAGCCUGGCUGUCUGCCACUAUGACUCCACCCGCAACCCCAAACUAUCAGACUGAGGAGAUCGCAGAACAAUAAUAUUUUUUUUUAACUGCUGCUAUUGAAAGGAAAGCUGGUCAGUCUGUCCAACCAACAUUUAAACUAAAAAUAUGUAUUUUUGUAUUGUCGUUACACUUACUUGCACAUUUAUUUUUUUUAAGUAUUUUUUUCUUUUUUUGAGUUUGUUUUAUUUUUUGCCUUUUUGGAUAGCAUUAGUAAAGAUGCACACAUCUUUCUUUUUGAAAGCGACACAGAAAUAUCAAAGAACCUAACCUGUCAAGAUUUAAGUUGUACGAGUCUCGAAAACACAGAUUCAGACCUCAGGGUUUCAUAAGUAGUAAACCUAAGGAACCAAUCCUAUCAAUUUGCAUGGAGUAACUUUUAAUUAUGAAUUAUUCAACUUCAGAAUCAGGUUUUGGUUUGAACAUGUGUAACUGAAUAUUCCAAUGUUACAACGUUCCUUUGUGUACAUUAGAGAGUUUUACAGCAUUUGGGCAAAGUCAGAGAGGAACCACUAGAGGCAGGAGCAUGGUAAAUCUACACAAGCUAGAGUAAUCAAUGGUGUCGAGUUACAUCAAAGCCAUUUUAAGGCAGGGAAGGAUUAAAUUCAUCCAAUAUUAUUUUUCCUUAUCUAUAAAGUAUGUAACAGUUACAAUAACUGCCUUUAAUUUUACAUUUAUUGAAUUUCCAUAGAGAGAUUAAUAAAGUUUUUGUUUUGUAUUGUAUUUAAAUAAAGGCAGUUAUUUACACUCUAAUUAGCAGUUUUGGGUCGGCAAAAGUAAAAAUGUAAAUUUUUGCUGAAGUUUUUAACAUAACACACUUCCCUGGUUAUUAAUGCACAGAUACAUGUAUUAAGUAUCCCUUAUCCAUAAAGCCCAAGGUUAUUUUUUUUGGCCUCACAGUUUUGCUGCUGUACCAACUAAAUUUGGGGAUGCUUUCUUGUUGAAAGUUUCAAAAAGUAUGACCUACACAAAGCCCUGACAAUUUUGAAAUCCAAAAGAUGACGCCUUAAUUAUUUUACCCAAUAGCACACCAGGCUGGGCAUUGUGUAUCAUCCACAUAAUUUUGCAUAGUAAGCUACCUACCAUUUUCUGUGAAACAUCGAAACAUUUAAUUAGGUAAAAAGUGGCAUGUGUGGAUAGCACAUUGAUGUUAUUGUAGGUGUACUUAUAAACACAUUUAAGAUUUAAGCAUGACUUUUUUCAAAUAUGUUUACAGCUUCAUAUUCUGACAUAUGCUACUGGAUCAUCGAGUGAUAAGUGCAAACACACUGUGAGUGUUGUGGCAUUUUAAAAUUGAACAAUGGAGAAAAUUAGAGAAUGUGGGAUGUGUGAAACAAAUUUAAGAGCUAAGGGAGACCUAACAGGUCAGCUGAAGUUAUGAGUGCACUAAAUAACCCUGUGUAAAGCGGCAACCCAGCGGAACCCUUUGGAAGCGCAUAUUAGGCAUAAGACAGGAAGUUCAUGUCCUCUCUUCGUCUGCGCUCAUGAUUUGUAACUCAGGGCACACUGAGCUAAGCAGAAAUAAUGCCAACCUAGCAGAAAUAAAAGAGAGGAGGGGGUCCAACUUUGAAUACGAUUACUUCAUGUGUAUCCUGAUUGGGUCUUAAGAUGAUAGGUUGUGGCUGUCCAGAACAAAAGAGGUGUGUUUAGAAGGAAUUUGCAUAGGUAUAAAAGACAAUGUAACACCUUGUGUAAUUAGUUACAAUCUCGAGAUUUCGCCCAUGUUUGUACUUACAGCCUUUGUAUUGAAUAAACAUUAUUCACAUCAGAC
This is a long non-coding RNA of Acanthochromis polyacanthus (spiny chromis), 5461 nucleotides long. RefSeq lists it as uncharacterized. The record is from RefSeq and is a predicted model, not a curated record. Lineage: Eukaryota; Metazoa; Chordata; Actinopteri; Pomacentridae. The transcript is spliced from 3 exons.